This 506-nucleotide ribosomal RNA is filed under the name uncultured bacterium. Its description in RNAcentral is "partial 16S ribosomal RNA". It matches the Rfam family "Bacterial small subunit ribosomal RNA", at positions 28 to 523 of the family's 1533-position model. The record is from RNAcentral.
GAUGAACGCUAGCUACAGGCUUAACACAUGCAAGUCGAGGGGUAACGAGAGGGAAGCUUGCUUUCCUUGUCGACGACCGGCGCACGGGUGAGUAACGCGUAUCCAACCUGCCCCCAACUAGGGAAUAACCUUGCGAAAGUAAGACUAAUACCCUAUAAUUUCCUCAGAUGUCAUCUGACGAGGAAUAAAGAUUUAUCGGUUGUGGAUGGGGAUGCGUCUGAUUAGCUUGUUGGCGGGGUAACGGCCCACCAAGGCAACGAUCAGUAGGGGUUCUGAGAGGAAGGUCCCCCACAUGGGAACUGAGACACGGUCCAAACUGCUACGGGAGGCAGCAGUGAGGAAUAUUGGUCAAUGGGCGGAAGCCUGAACCAGCCAAGUAGCGUGCAGGAUGACGGCCCUAUGGGUUGUAAACUGCUUUUAUACAGGAAUAAAGUUAGCCACGUGUGGUUAUUUGUAGGUACUGUAUGAAUAAGGACCGGCUAAUUCCGUGCCAGCCGCCGCAGUAA